RNAcentral lists this non-coding RNA (30 nucleotides) under Rattus norvegicus (Norway rat). Lineage: Eukaryota; Metazoa; Chordata; Mammalia; Rodentia; Muridae. The record is from RNAcentral.
UAAUAUUUACCCAAAUAUUUCCUUGACCCU